RNAcentral lists this ribosomal RNA (253 nucleotides) under uncultured bacterium. RNAcentral's name for it is "partial 16S ribosomal RNA". It matches the Rfam family "Bacterial small subunit ribosomal RNA", at positions 524 to 776 of the family's 1533-position model. The record is from RNAcentral.
UACGAAGGGGGCUAGCGUUGUUCGGAAUUACUGGGCGUAAAGCGCACGUAGGCGGGUUGUUAAGCCAGGGGUGAAAUCCCGGAGCUCAACUCCGGAACUGCCUUUGAUACUGGCAACCUAGAGACUGGAAGAGGUUAGUGGAAUUCCCAGUGUAGAGGUGAAAUUCGUAGAUAUUGGGAAGAACACCAGUGGCGAAGGCGGCUAACUGGUCCAGUAUUGACGCUGAGGUGCGAAAGCGUGGGGAGCAAACAAG